UACGUAGGUGGCAAGCGUUGUCCGGAAUUAUUGGGCGUAAAGCGCGCGCAGGCGGUCCUUUAAGUCUGAUGUGAAAGCCCACGGCUCAACCGUGGAGGGUCAUUGGAAACUGGGGGACUUGAGUACAGAAGAGGAAAGCGGAAUUCCACGUGUAGCGGUGAAAUGCGUAGAGAUGUGGAGGAACACCAGUGGCGAAGGCGGCUUUCUGGUCUGUAACUGACGCUGAGGCGCGAAAGCGUGGGGAGCAAACGGG
RNAcentral lists this ribosomal RNA (253 nucleotides) under uncultured bacterium. Its description in RNAcentral is "partial 16S ribosomal RNA". It matches the Rfam family "Bacterial small subunit ribosomal RNA", at positions 524 to 776 of the family's 1533-position model. The record is from RNAcentral.